GAUACUCCCCAAACCCCUGUGACAUACCACUUGUUGCCUCGGCGGAUCAGCCCGCUCCCGGUAAAACGGGACGGCCCGCCAGAGGACCCCUAAACUCUGUUUCUAUAUGUAACUUCUGAGUAAAACCAUAAAUAAAUCAAAACUUUCAACAACGGAUCUCUUGGUUCUGGCAUCGAUGAAGAACGCAGCAAAAUGCGAUAAGUAAUGUGAAUUGCAGAAUUCAGUGAAUCAUCGAAUCUUUGAACGCACAUUGCGCCCGCCAGUAUUCUGGCGGGCAUGCCUGUUCGAGCGUCAUUUCAACCCUCAAGCACAGCUUGGUGUUGGGACUCGCGUUAAUUCGCGUUCCCCAAAUUGAUUGGCGGUCACGUCGAGCUUCCAUAGCGUAGUAGUAAAACCCUCGUUACUGGUAAUCGUCGCGGCCACGCCGUUAAACCCCAACUUCUGAAUGUUGACCUCGGAUCAGGUAGGAAUACCCGCUGAACUUAAGCAUAUCAAUAAGCGGAGGGAAAAGAAAACCCCC
Molecule: ribosomal RNA, 520 nt
Filed under: Fusarium oxysporum
Lineage: Eukaryota; Fungi; Ascomycota; Sordariomycetes; Hypocreales; Nectriaceae
Description: eukaryotic LSU rRNA
Rfam family: 5.8S ribosomal RNA (bases 141-294)
Source: RNAcentral